UUCUGGUAAAAAAACAGACACAUACACCAAUGGAACAGAAUAGGGAAGCCAGCAAUAAAGUCACACAGCUGCAGCCAUCUGAUCUUCAACAAAUUGGACAAAAAUCAGCAAUGGGGAAAUGACUCCCCACCCAAUAAGUGGUGCUAGGAAAGCUGGCUAGCCAUAGGCAGAAGAAUGAAACCGGACCCCUAGCUUUCACUAUAUAUAAAAAUUAACUUGGCU
This 222-nucleotide long non-coding RNA is filed under the name Homo sapiens (human). Its description in RNAcentral is "non-protein coding lnc-CEP44-6:1". The record is from RNAcentral. Lineage: Eukaryota; Metazoa; Chordata; Mammalia; Primates; Hominidae.